GGGGCGGGGUGACCAUACAGAGCCCCUGUAUACAAGAAUACAGAGGGGAAUCAUUCUGGUCCAACCAGGCUAGUAUGUAAUGGCCCUGAUGUGAAAUAGAAAAGAGAACAGUAAGUUAUAUUUCUUGAGCCUUCUCAUUGCAAGAUUUAUAACAGACAACCUAAAUUUGCUGCCAUUUAGUCAACUAUAUCCUAGUAAACUCUUCAGCAUAAUGUGGUGGUUUUUUUAUUUCAAUGUCCUAUACCUUCAUGCAGGAUGAUGCUUCUGGCGCCGGCAGCAACACCAUCGCGUAUGACGUGCCCUCCGGCAGCAACAACCACACGAUCCAGGGAGACCACAGCAACCACACAAUCGUGAACAACGUACCUUCUGCCGCCGGGGCCACGUCGGAGGCCGUCGUGCGGUUGCUGCCGCCGGAGGGCACGUCAAGUGACGUGGCAUUUUGUUUUUAUUGUGUGCUGUGGUUUUAGUGUGUUUUAUAUUGGUUUUAUCUUUGCAGUGCAUUUUAACUUUAUUUAUAGUUUUAAGGACAUGCCAAGUCACAUGCUUUUAACCACAUGACUUUUACCCCAAUCCCUGCUGUGAGGCGAUCAGCACACCUGUGCGUGGUAAUCAGCGCACCUGUGUCUGAUUGGGACUGGAACAGACAAAAGGGAGCACAGGAGCCACAACAGGGACAGAGCAAGGGAGGAGAGAGGGAGGCGCAGGAGAGGACACGAGGACACGAGGACACGAGGACACGCGGCCGCUGCGGCCGCUGGAGCUGGAAGGCCACGGCGCACCACCACCACGAGUCGGAGAGCAGGACGGCACACGCAUUGGGGACCACGACCACGCUGGGACCGCAAGUGCUGCGAAGCGACAUACACGCAGGGGCAGAGGAGGACUCUGCCUUCCGUUUUCCGCGUAGGUGUCAGCGUGCGGAGGACGAGAGCCAGCCGGGAGGGAUCGAGACGGAGUGAAGGAGUGUUGUGAUGCUGGAGACACGCAGGGGCAGAGGAUAACUCUGCCUUGUGUGUAAGUAUUGUAGCGACACUCCACCAGCGUAGCCUAAGGCCCUGUAGUCUCGGACCCCCGUGCUGGCGUAUGUUUUACGUUGCAGGAGACCCGGUGCGUGUGACCAGAAGGACCCCUACCCUGGAGUCGAACCUAUCUGCACACCCCACUUCACUGUGGAUGGUGCCCCGUUUUUAGUGUCGUAGUUUUAUCCUUUUUUAGCCCACCUUGUUUUUAAUGGACUUUUAGCAUAGUGUUUUUAUUUGUGGGCAUUUUUACUGUUUUAAUUAUUCCUGCAUUAAAUUUUAAAUAACCUGUAACUACUUUUUGUCCUCCUUGGUAAACAGUGUGCUCUCACCCGGUCACUCAAUUCCUCCUUUUGCAAUAGUUAUUUUUCCGGUCAAAUUUCAUUCCACUUUCAAACACCUCCAUAGCACCCCCCCUCAUUACAUAAAUUCUAGUGUCGUCAUCAACCUGGCACUUCA
This 1481-nucleotide long non-coding RNA is filed under the name Neogobius melanostomus (round goby). RNAcentral's name for it is "lncRNA (ENSNMLG00000020995.1)". Lineage: Eukaryota; Metazoa; Chordata; Actinopteri; Gobiiformes; Gobiidae. The record is from RNAcentral.